RNAcentral lists this ribosomal RNA (1371 nucleotides) under uncultured bacterium. RNAcentral describes it as "bacterial SSU rRNA". It matches the Rfam family "Bacterial small subunit ribosomal RNA", at positions 29 to 1381 of the family's 1533-position model. The record is from RNAcentral.
AUGAGCGCUGGCGGCGUGCCUAAUACAUGCAAGUCGAGCGAACGGACGAGAAGCUUGCUUCUCUGAUGUUAGCGGCGGACGGGUGAGUAACACGUGGAUAACCUACCUAUAAGACUGGGAUAACUUCGGGAAACCGGAGCUAAUACCGGAUAAUAUUUUGAACCGCAUGGUUCAAAAGUGAAAGACGGUCUUGCUGUCACUUAUAGAUGGAUCCGCGCUGCAUUAGCUAGUUGGUAAGGUAACGGCUUACCAAGGCAACGAUGCAUAGCCGACCUGAGAGGGUGAUCGGCCACACUGGAACUGAGACACGGUCCAGACUCCUACGGGAGGCAGCAGUAGGGAAUCUUCCGCAAUGGGCGAAAGCCUGACGGAGCAACGCCGCGUGAGUGAUGAAGGUCUUCGGAUCGUAAAACUCUGUUAUUAGGGAAGAACAUAUGUGUAAGUAACUGUGCACAUCUUGACGGUACCUAAUCAGAAAGCCACGGCUAACUACGUGCCAGCAGCCGCGGUAAUACGUAGGUGGCAAGCGUUAUCCGGAAUUAUUGGGCGUAAAGCGCGCGUAGGCGGUUUUUUAAGUCUGAUGUGAAAGCCCACGGCUCAACCGUGGAGGGUCAUUGGAAACUGGAAAACUUGAGUGCAGAAGAGGAAAGUGGAAUUCCAUGUGUAGCGGUGAAAUGCGCAGAGAUAUGGAGGAACACCAGUGGCGAAGGCGACUUUCUGGUCUGUAACUGACGCUGAUGUGCGAAAGCGUGGGGAUCAAACAGGAUUAGAUACCCUGGUAGUCCACGCCGUAAACGAUGAGUGCUAAGUGUUAGGGGGUUUCCGCCCCUUAGUGCUGCAGCUAACGCAUUAAGCACUCCGCCUGGGGAGUACGACCGCAAGGUUGAAACUCAAAGGAAUUGACGGGGACCCGCACAAGCGGUGGAGCAUGUGGUUUAAUUCGAAGCAACGCGAAGAACCUUACCAAAUCUUGACAUCCUUUGACAACUCUAGAGAUAGAGCCUUCCCCUUCGGGGGACAAAGUGACAGGUGGUGCAUGGUUGUCGUCAGCUCGUGUCGUGAGAUGUUGGGUUAAGUCCCGCAACGAGCGCAACCCUUAAGCUUAGUUGCCAUCAUUAAGUUGGGCACUCUAAGUUGACUGCCGGUGACAAACCGGAGGAAGGUGGGGAUGACGUCAAAUCAUCAUGCCCCUUAUGAUUUGGGCUACACACGUGCUACAAUGGACAAUACAAAGGGCAGCGAAACCGCGAGGUCAAGCAAAUCCCAUAAAGUUGUUCUCAGUUCGGAUUGUAGUCUGCAACUCGACUACAUGAAGCUGGAAUCGCUAGUAAUCGUAGAUCAGCAUGCUACGGUGAAUACGUUCCCGGGUCU